UACGGAGGGUGCAAGCGUUGUUCGGAAUUACUGGGCGUAAAGCGCACGUAGGCGGGUUUGCAAGUCGAUUGUGAAAGCCCCGGGCUCAAUCCGGGAAUGGCAGUCGAAACUGCAAGUCUUGAAUACCUGAGAGGGUGACGGAAUUCCUGGUGUAGAAGUGAAAUUCGUAGAUAUCAGGAGGAACACCGGAGGCGAAGGCGGUUGCCUGGCAGUGUAUUGACGCUGAGGUGCGAAAGCGUGGGGAGCAAACAGG
RNAcentral lists this ribosomal RNA (253 nucleotides) under uncultured bacterium. Its description in RNAcentral is "partial 16S ribosomal RNA". It matches the Rfam family "Bacterial small subunit ribosomal RNA", at positions 524 to 776 of the family's 1533-position model. The record is from RNAcentral.